UUGAACGCUGGCGGCAGGCCUAACACCUGCAAGUCGAGCGGAUGAAGGGAGCUUGCUCCUGGCUUCAGCGGCGGACGGGUGAGUAAUGCCUAGGAAUCUGCCUGGUAGUGGGGGAUAACGUCCGGAAACGGGCGCUAAUACCGCAUACGUCCUGAGGGAGAAAGUGGGGGAUCUUCGGACCUCACGCUAUCAGAUGAGCCUAGGUCGGCUUAGCUAGUUGGUGGGGUAAAGGCCUACCAAGGCGACGAUCCGUAACUGGUCUGAGAGGAUGAUCAGUCACACUGGAACUGAGACACGGUCCGGACUCCUACGGGAGGCAGCAGUGGGGAAUAUUGGACAAUGGGCGAAAUCCUGAUCCAGCCAUGCCGCGUGUGUGAAGAAGGUCUUCGGAUUGUAAAGCACUUUAAGUUGGGAGGAAGGGCAGUAAGUUAAUACCUUGCUGUUUUGACGUUACCAACAGAAUAAGCACCGGCUAACUUCGUG
Molecule: ribosomal RNA, 483 nt
Filed under: uncultured bacterium
Lineage: Bacteria
Description: partial 16S ribosomal RNA
Rfam family: Bacterial small subunit ribosomal RNA
Source: RNAcentral